UAUAGAAUACCCUUUGGGAAACAUUGGGUUAAAAUAGAUUGCAGUACAUUCAUUCCAUGGAAAUCUUGGCAACAAUGAAGAAUGAUGGCAUAGUCAUAUAUCACUUGACAUGGAAAGAUGUUUACACUAGAUUGUAAAGUUAAAAAGCAGUGUGAUUAAUGGGAUCUCGUUUUUGUUUUUUUGUUUUAUUGGCUGUUUUUUUUUUUUUUUUUUUUUUUUUGAGACAGAGUUUCACCCUUGUCACCCAGGCUGUAGUGCAAUGGCAUGAUCUCAGCUCACUGCAACCUCUGCCUCCUGGGUUCAAGCGAUUCUCCUACCUCAGCCUCCCGAGUAGCUGGACUACAAGCACCCGCCACCAAACCCGGCUAAUUUUUGUAUUUUUAGUAGAGACAGGGUUUCACUGUGUUGGCCAGGCUGGUCUCCAACUCCUGACUUCAGGUGAUCUGCCCGCCUCAGCCUCUCUAGGAGGUAGGAAAGUUGAUGGUUUUUAUUUUUAUUUGCUUUUCUCUUUGCCUUGUCUGUACUUUCAGAUUUUUCCACAUGGACUGUCUAUUACUUGUGUAAUCAAGAAACAAUAGAAGUUAAAUAUAUUUUAGAAACUCAUAUGCAGUUAUUAAUUUUGUAAGAGAUGGGGUGAGAGGAUCCAGAAUUUUGCCUCUAUUUAAGCUUUUAUUGAAUUAAAGUCUAAGAGUCUUUCACUGUUGGAAAGCUCUACUCAUUUAAACAUUCUUUCUGAUAUGGAACCAAAAUCUACCUUCCAUCCUUUGGUCCUAAUUUGUCCUAGGGAAUGCCACAAAAUAAGCAAAACCCAUCUCCUCUCCAAUAGAUGGACUUUCAGAUAUUUGGCAAUGGCUAUCAUGUCUCCAUAAAUCUUUCUUCCUCUAGAUUUUCCAUUCCAGUCUUUUUUUCUUUGAGAUAGUUUCCAGACCUUGAUACUAUCCCAUUGGCUUCUGGACAUUUUCCAGUUUAUCAAUAUGUUUAAAGUGUGGCACUCAGAAAUGACCACAACACUCCACCCUUUUUCUACAUUUCAUUCUCAGUUUCUAUAAAUUGUUGUGUUAGAGUUCUCUGACUAAAAAGUAAUUUCGGAAUACUUCCCAGUUCAGUGUGACUGUACUCUGAAUCCUAUCCUAUGAUUAUGCAGAAGGAGCAGGACUGAAAUAAUAAAAAAGAAAGAAAAAUAAUAAUGAAAAAAUUAAGAUUAUAUGAGAGACACUCAAUUAUCUAUCCCUCCAUCUUUUAAUUUCUAAGGUUAUAUAGAUGGAUAAAGCUUUCCAGAUCAAUUUCUCAUCCAGCCUCCUGCAAUUAUUAAAACAUUAGUAGAACUUUUUACCAAACAUUGAAAAAAAAAUGAGAGAGCUUCUCUACUGAUGGGGAAGGCAAAGGAUUCUCUGUAGCUUGGACAAGGAAUUUGAAGAAUCUCUUGUCCUAUACCAUUUUCUACUCUUUGUCCCAGUCGUUGGUACCAGUUUUUCUGGCUUUUGAUCAACAUUAGAGCUGAGUUAGACAAGGUCAAGCUGCAUGCAGAUUGAUUGGCCUCUCAACUGAGAGGCACCCCACAAGAUGAUAGUGAAAGGCCGGGGUUCAUGGUGAUGUGUAGAAUAUCAUUUCUUGUCCUUGGCAUGUUCUCAGCUCUCCUGCUAAACCCAGUGUACACCCUGAUCUUCUUACCAGCCUAAUGAGUCCUUUGCUUUUUAUUCUUUUUGCCAUUCCUCCUACAUAGUAGGCACUUGUUAUUAAAGUGUGAUAAAUAUAUGCACCAGCUCCAAAUAAUACUGAGCCCAACGACUUCCACCAUGCAUAUGGGCCUGUGUGCUUAGUUUUUCAAAAGAGUACUUGCUUAAUUGUAGGUACUGCAUCUUCGUACACAGGAUGCUUUAUAUUUCAUGCUUGCUAAGCAGAAAUAACUUUAAAUCUUCAAUUUUGAAGUUUUAUAUUUAUGCAGCUUUUAUUUUAUUUUUAUUUUUAUUUUUUAUUUUUGAGACAGUCUCACUCACUUUGUUGCCCAGGCUCGAGUGCAUUGUCAUGAUCUCGGCUCACUGCAACCUCUGCCUCCUCAGUUCAAGUGAUUCUCCUGCCUCAGCUUCCCAAGUAGCUGGGAUUAAUUUUUGUAUUUUUUAAUAGAGACAGGGUUUCACAUGUUGGCCAGGCUGGUCUUGAACUCCUGAGCUCAAGUGAUCCUCCUGCCUUACCCUCCCAAAGUGCUGGGAUUACAGGAGUGAGCCAUUGUACCCGUUUACCAUUUUAUAUCCCUACCGGCAGUGCAUGUUCAUUUAUGUAGUUCAUAUAUGUAGCUCUUUUAAACAAUGUUUUGAUUUUGAGAUCCUGAUUUUCAAAAUAAUUUGCUGUGUUAAACGUUGCUUGACAAAAGAAAGACAUCAAUGAGCGUGAGGGAAUAUGUUUAAAUAUGUCUAUUUUAUUUAAAAUGUUGAUCUAAUUUUUUUUUUUUUUUUUUUUUUUUUUUUUUUGCGACGGAGUCUUGUUCUGUCGCCCAGGCUGGAGUGCAGUGGCACAAUCUUGGCUCACUGCAACUUCCGCUUCCCGGUUUCAAGCGAUUCUCCUGCCUCAGCCUCCCAAGUAGCUGGGAUUACAGGUGCAUGCCACCACACCUGGCUGAUUUUUGUAUUUUUAGUACAGAUGGGGUUUCACCAUGUUGGCCAGGCUGGUCUCAAACUCCUGACCUCAGGUGAUCCACCCGCCUCGACCUCCCAAAGUGCUGGGAUUACAGGCGUGAGCCACUGCUUCUGACCAAUCAGAUUAUUUUUGUUUUUAAAGAAUUUAAUUUAUAGAUCUUGGGCCUUGGUAUUUAACCAGACACAAUUAUUCAUUACUAUUUAAAAUGAUCAGCUAAAUGGCAUACUUCCUUCAAAAGAAAAUCUAAUGUGAUCUAGAGAAUAAACUGACCUUUCUCUAGAGUCUCCUAAAAUUCUUAGGAAUAGCUUCAUAUGACAUUCUACUUCUUUUAUUUAACUUAGAAACUUGUGAAAAAGCAUAUUCAAUUAAAGAAAGGCUGUGACUUGCUGAAGUUCCAGUGAUCAGUGACAUACUAUAUAUCUAAGUGGCCUCCUGAACUCCCCCACUUACUGACAGGAAGAGAAUCUGAUUUCAUAGAUACUUGCCAAUGUCCUAUUGGUUAGGGGUGGCGGAUAUCUGGAAAGCCACAAAGCAUGGUAUCAUCCUUUGGAUCUUGGUGACAAGAAAUGAAUAAAAAAGCAAAGCAAAAUAAAACAAUAGAUGUACUUGGUCUAUUUCAUCAUACCAAGAUCUAAGGGUUUAUAAGAGCACAUUGUUACCAAGCAACAAGCUUUUUGCUAAUCACACUUUACCAAACUGAAACUCCAGCAUAAGGGCCAGGGUUGUCUGAAUCUUGUCUGUGGCUCCCCAAAUGUGGGCAGUUCAACAGGGUGUCAGCGAAAGGAAUCUGAUGUUUCCGUUCCUUAACUGUGAAAUCAGGGAUAAUGUGCUUGCCUUUGGGGAUUUCUGUCCUCUCCUAGAUGGUCCACACUGAACAGAUCCAACAUUGUGUUCCUUUGUGUCACAGAGCCUACAUAACCCAUCACAUCUGUGGGCUAUGAGGGGUCAUUAGGCAAUGCCAGCCCUGCACCAUCGAUCUAACCCCUUCUACUCUUAGCUUUUUAGUUUCCAUAAGAAGCUUUUCCUUACCCUCCAAUUUCCUCUAAGCGAUUUAAAAAUAUUUAUUCUACACAUGGGUUCAUCUACUCCAAUGCUCACAUUCCAGGGUUACUACAUUAUAUUGACUUUUUCUUGAUUGUAAGUAAGCCUUUCAGGGAACGUGGGUUCGUCUGUGUGACUUCGUGGAAUUCUCAUUAUUCAAUGAGAACUAAAACCAGAGAAAGACAUAUCUCUGGUUCACAGUCUUUUUUUCUUUUUUUUUCUUUUAGACAGGAUCUCACUUUGUCACCCAGGCUGGAAUACAGUGGUGUGAUCUUGGCUCACUGCUGCCUCAACCUCCUAGGUUCAAGUGAUCCUCCCACCUCAGCCCCCAAAGUAGCUGGGACUACAGGUGCAUGCCACCACUCAUGGCUAAUUUGUUAUUUUUUGUAGAGAUGGGGUUUCACCAUGUUGCCCAGGCUGGUCUUGAACUCCUGAGCUCAAGUGAUCCCUCGGCCUCCCAAAGUGGUAGGAUUAACCAGUGUGAGCCACUGCACCUGGCCUGGCUCAAAGUCUUUGACCGAGUAGUUCGGAAUCCAAUAUUAUUUCCUAUGGAUGAAAAUGACUUUUUUUUUUAAGAUACAAAGAUGACUUCUCAGGAAGUCGAAUAGCAGUAGUAUACUUUGAGAGACUAAGCAGGUUAACAGGACCAAGGUGCUGUCUCUCUAAUGAUGUAUUAUUUAUUGUCAGUUAGAUUCUGCUUCCUCCAUAAAAGGACUUGAAUUAGAGACAGCUGAAGCUGAUAGGGUUCGUCUUUAGUUUCUUUCCACCUUGCUUUCUGCUGCUUCUUUCCCUCCAGCUCCCGACCCCCAACAGCUCAGAAUCUACCCUGCUCUGACCUCUUCCAAAAAAGGGCCUAUGCUCCCAAGGCACAUCAUCUUCCCCUCUUCUAAUCAAAACCUCCCAUCCUAGCAAGGCUGAAAUCAAUUUGGACAUUCUGAUUAAAGUUCUUCAUAGGAAAAUUAAAGUGACUAAUAAAUUUAACUCUGGGGAGAGGUGUUUUAAAGCAGUAAUUUAGUUCUAAUCUCAAUUGUUGGCAUUGGGAAGGCAGUCAGGGAAUGCUGCAGCAGGGAGCCUCUGUCCCCUUCCUGUCCCCUCUCCAAGUCUCCCCUAAGCAUGACAUGGAGUGGGGAGAAGCUAAUAGGCUCUUCUCUCCUGUAUUCCCAUUAUUGUCUCCAUUUAUUUAGGAGGAAACUGAGGUUUGGGAAGGUUAGUCACUUUACCGAAGUUUCUUCCUAAACCAGCGGGGACAAUAAAGGUACCUACCUCAUAGGGUCAUUGUGAAGAUGAAAUUAUCUGCUGCAUGUAAAACCCUAAGCUACCUGGAAAAUAAGUACAUAAUUUGGUAAGUGCUUGUUUUUGCUGUUAUUUAAUAACUGACCUACAAAAGGAAGGGAAGAAGCCAGCGCUAGGUACUCUCCAGUUUCCCUUUCUAUGUAUUGAUUUAUUUUUUAUUUUUUUAUUUUUUGAGAUGGAGUCUUGCUCUGUCACCCAGGCUGGAGUGCAGUGGCAUGAUUUCGGCUCACUGUAACCUCUGCCUCCUGGGUUCAAGCAAUUCUCCUGCCUCAUCCUCGCGAGUAGCUGGAAUUAUAGGAGCAUGCCAUCACGCCCGGCUAAUUUUUGUAUUUUUUUAAGUAGAGAUGAGUUUUCGCUAUGUUGGCCAGGCUGGUCUUGAAGUCCUGACCUCAAGUGAUCCACCUGCCUCAGCCUCCCAAAGUGCUGGGAUUACGUGUGUGAGCCACCGCACCCGGUCUCACUCUGCUGCCC
Molecule: long non-coding RNA, 5439 nt
Filed under: Homo sapiens (human)
Lineage: Eukaryota; Metazoa; Chordata; Mammalia; Primates; Hominidae
Description: non-protein coding lnc-FAM122C-3:1
Source: RNAcentral